GGAGCUGAUGAAUGAGUCGGUUG
This 23-nucleotide non-coding RNA is filed under the name Arabidopsis thaliana (thale cress). The record is from RNAcentral. Lineage: Eukaryota; Viridiplantae; Streptophyta; Magnoliopsida; Brassicales; Brassicaceae.